RNAcentral lists this ribosomal RNA (477 nucleotides) under uncultured bacterium. RNAcentral's name for it is "partial 16S ribosomal RNA". It matches the Rfam family "Bacterial small subunit ribosomal RNA", at positions 28 to 507 of the family's 1533-position model. The record is from RNAcentral.
GAUCAACGCUGGCGGCGUGCAUAACACAUGCAAGUCGAACGAUGAAGCUUAACUGAUUUCUUCGGAAUGAUUUUAAGUGGAUUAGUGGCGGACGGGUGAGUAACGCGUGAGUAACCUGCCUUGCACAAGGGGAUAGCCGUUGGAAACGACGAAUAAUACCCUAUGAUAUAAACUCUUCGCAUGAAGGGCUUAUCAAAGAUUUAUCGGUGUAAGAUGGACUCGCGUCUGAUUAGCUAGUUGGUGGGGUAACAGCCUACCAAGGCAACGAUCAGUAGCCGGCUUGAGAGAGUGUACGGCCACAUUGGGACUGAGACACGGCCCAGACUCCUACGGGAGGCAGCAGUGGGGAAUUUUGCACAAUGGGGGAAACCCUGAUGCAGCGACGCCGCGUGAUUUAGAAGGCCUUCGGGUUGUAAAAAUCUUUUGUAUGGGAAGAAAAUGACAGUACCAUACGAAUAAGGACCGGCUAAUUACGUG